Non-coding RNA from Paramuricea clavata, 1508 nucleotides. NCBI's taxonomy places the organism in Eukaryota, Metazoa, Cnidaria, Anthozoa, Malacalcyonacea, Plexauridae. The record is from the annotation of a GenBank genome assembly.
GGAAAUUAUCACCAAUUAUGUUAAGGUAUGUCCCAAAGUAGUUAUGAUUUAUACUUACACCUGUAUUCUAAGAGCUCACUCACACUCAAAGAGUGGAGGUUCAAUCUGAGUGUCAUUGCUGUUUUUGAAUAGCUGGAGGGUGAGUAGUCACAUAGUACGGUACGCCACUAACCCUCUAGCUAUUCAAAAACAGCAUUGACCCUCGAGGAAAGCUCAGAUCGAAUACAGGUGUGUUAGUCUUCCUAUGAUUAUGUAUAAUGAGUAAAAGGAUUUAAGCCCCCGUUUACACUACGCUCAAUUUUUGGUACGGCACGGAUAAAAUUGGUACCCCUACCACUUUCUUUGCUUCUUGGACUACCUAUUUAGCUAAGCCCCGUUUACACUACGCUCAAUUUUUGGUACCGUACCACUUUUUGGUUCUUGGACUACCUAAAUAGGUAAUCCAAGAACCAAAAAAGUGGUACGGGUACCAAUUUUAUCCGUAGUGUAAACAGGGCUUUAUAUUCACUCCUUUAAAGAGGUUAUGCGGCCCACUUACUCUGUCUAAUGGCAGACGAUUUUACUCGUCAAGGGAAGCGCGCUGUCACUUAAUGGGUUAACAUUAAAUCGUCAUCUAGUUCACAUAUAGUACCUUACUUGCAUGCAUGCAUGCAAGUAUGCAGGUGACGCAAACAAACGAUCUUGUCUAUACGCUGUCUCUAUAUCGAUGAGCUUAUUUAACUCUUGGAGAAAAUCCAAUAGAAAACGUCUAUAUAUUGACACACUGUUAAGUAUUUUUAUAUUCAAGUAAGACCUGGAACCUUAUUUUUCUUAUAUACUGUAAUUCUUCAUUUCUUUAUUUUGUAGAAAAAUGUUCAACACAUCACUUUAUACAACGAAAUAUCGGUUCGACUAUUAAUUGAAAUGAUGAAUGAUGAUAUGUGUACACUAACUUCAUUGUGGUGUCUCCACUAUUCUGAUCACGGGCCGGAAUUGACGCUAUGAAUUGUUCGUGAAUUUGUACGCCAGUCGCCAGUCAAUUAAUAUUGCUAUUAAAGUGGAUUUUUUGCGAUUUCACAAGUUCCUUGAAAUACGACUGUUAAUUAUUCGAGGACAAGACUAACGUAUAUUGAUUAUCCUUCAUUAUUGGUACCUUUACAACGAACAUCGCCAUCUCUACUGGACCGAGUACUGGUAAAUCAAUGAACUAAUUGAACUAUCGAGACUUCAUAAAAAUAAACAUUAUAAAAGCUUACAGAAAUGGUUUCCAUGCAUUAAAGAACUUGCCAAAUUUGCUUUGUUCAGAUGCAAGAUUUGGUCCGUGAUUAUAUAAUCAUAAUUCAUACUCACAUUGAAUAUUUAAACUUCAAAUAGUCCUAGUGAUUGUUUCAGAAUUUUGUUCUAAUGCGAUGUAUACUGUAGAAAAAUCUGUAAUUCUUGUAUUGCAUAAUGAUACUUCGAUGCGUAUCUGCAAGUAUUGCUAACUUGAACUGUCAGCUCUUUCUGUACUAUUUCUCCUCAAUAAAGUC